RNAcentral lists this ribosomal RNA (301 nucleotides) under uncultured bacterium. RNAcentral describes it as "partial 16S ribosomal RNA". It matches the Rfam family "Bacterial small subunit ribosomal RNA", at positions 509 to 807 of the family's 1533-position model. The record is from RNAcentral.
CAGUCGCCACGGUAAAACGUAGGUGGCAAGCGUUGUCCGGAAUUAUUGGGCGUAAAGGGCUCGCAGGCGGUUUCUUAAGUCUGAUGUGGAAGCCCCCGGCUCAACCGGGGAGGGUCAUUGGAAACUGGGAAACUUGAGUGCAGAAGAGGAGAGUGGAAUUCCACGUGUAGCGGUGAAAUGCGUAGAGAUGUGGAGGAACACCAGUGGCGAAGGCGACUCUCUGGUCUGUAACUGACGCUGAGGAGCGAAAGCGUGGGGAGCGAACAGGAUUAGAGACCCGUGUAGUCCCUGUCUCUUAUAC